UCGCUACUUGUGGAUACUUCUAGUGAUUCCAAACGAGCUUAAACUUAGGAACUAGAUUUUUUCCGUACUGAAGCGGUUAUACGAGUUGGUUUUAAUUUCAGCUUUGAUGAUUAUGCUCUUACGGAAGAAGGAUGAUUUUUAAGCUUUGAAUACCCAUACAGAUCCCUUAAAUGAAUCUAAUGCGAUACUUUUUCAUAACUGUCAAGGAUAUGUCUUUUUACCCACGCAGUCACGACCUUAUAACU
Cinara cedri is the source of this 245-nucleotide non-coding RNA. Lineage: Eukaryota; Metazoa; Arthropoda; Insecta; Hemiptera; Aphididae. The record is from the annotation of a GenBank genome assembly.